CCUACGGGGUGCAGCAGUCGAGAAUCAUUCACAAUGGGGGAAACCCUGAUGGUGCGACGCCGCGUGGGGGAAUGAAGGUCUUCGGAUUGUAAACCCCUGUCAUGUGGGAGCAAAUUAAAAAGAUAGUACCACAAGAGGAAGAGACGGCUAACUCUGUGCCAGCAGCCGCGGUAAUACAGAGGUCUCAAGCGUUGUUCGGAAUCACUGGGCGUAAAGCGUGCGUAGGCUGUUUCGUAAGUCGUGUGUGAAAGGCGCGGGCUCAACCCGCGGACGGCACAUGAUACUGCGAGACUAGAGUAAUGGAGGGGGAACCGGAAUUCUCGGUGUAGCAGUGAAAUGCGUAGAUAUCGAGAGGAACACUCGUGGCGAAGGCGGGUUACUGGACAUUAACUGACGCUGAGGCACGAAGGCCAGGGGAGCGAAAGGGAUUAGAUACCCCAGUAGUC
Molecule: ribosomal RNA, 446 nt
Filed under: uncultured bacterium
Lineage: Bacteria
Description: partial 16S ribosomal RNA
Rfam family: Bacterial small subunit ribosomal RNA
Source: RNAcentral